Puccinia graminis f. sp. tritici is the source of this 95-nucleotide transfer RNA. It matches the Rfam family "tRNA". Rfam says of the family: Transfer RNA (tRNA) molecules are approximately 80 nucleotides in length. Their secondary structure includes four short double-helical elements and three loops (D, anti-codon, and T loops). Further hydrogen bonds mediate the characteristic L-shaped molecular structure. tRNAs have two regions of fundamental functional importance: the anti-codon, which is responsible for specific mRNA codon recognition, and the 3' end, to which the tRNAs corresponding amino acid is attached (by aminoacyl-tRNA synthetases). tRNAs cope with the degeneracy of the genetic code in two manners: having more than one tRNA (with a specific anti-codon) for a particular amino acid; and 'wobble' base-pairing, i.e. permitting non-standard base-pairing at the 3rd anti-codon position. The record is from Rfam. NCBI's taxonomy places the organism in Eukaryota, Fungi, Basidiomycota, Pucciniomycetes, Pucciniales, Pucciniaceae.
GACUCCAUGGCGCAAUGGUAGCGCGUUCGACUCCAGUUGUCCAUGGGACCUCAUGUGUCAUCGAAAGGUUGCGUGUUCAAGUCACGUUGGGGUCA